This 543-nucleotide ribosomal RNA is filed under the name uncultured bacterium. RNAcentral describes it as "bacterial SSU rRNA". It matches the Rfam family "Bacterial small subunit ribosomal RNA", at positions 8 to 524 of the family's 1533-position model. The record is from RNAcentral.
AGGGUUUGAUUAUGGCUCAGGAUGAACGCUGGCGGCAUGCCUAAUACAUGCAAGUCGAACGGACUACACCUUGAACCUGAAGUGCUUGCACAGAAGGGAAUUGGAUUAUGUAGUCAGUGGCGGACGGGUGAGUAACACGUGGGUUACCUGCCACACAGUAUGGAAUAACUAUUGGAAACGAUAGCUAAUACCGUAUAUGACCUUCGGGUUGAAAGGAGCGUUUGCUUCGCUGUGUGAUGGGCCUGCGGUGCAUUAGCUAGUUGGUAAGGUAAAGGCUUACCAAGGCGACGAUGCAUAGCCGGACUGAGAGGUCGAUCGGCCACAUUGGGACUGAGACACGGCCCAAACUUCUACGGAAGGCAGCAGUAGGGAAUUUUCCGCAAUGGACGAAAGUCUGACGGAGCAAUGCCGCGUGAGUGAUGAAGGUUUUCGAAUCGUAAAGCUCUGUUGUAAGGGAAGAAUAGCAAGUGUAGGAAAUGACAUUUGUCUGACGGUACCUUACCAGAAAGCCACGGCUAACUACGUGCCAGCAGCCGCGGUAAU